UCUCUUUCACUCUUAGAUCUCUCUCCCUCAACUCUCACUCUCAUCUCUCCCCUCAUAACUCUCUCCUCUCUUUUCCCCUCGCUGCACCUUAUCUACCCCAAGGACCAUCACCCACAUAUACACACCCACACACACGCUAACUCUCCCUCGGACCUCCCUCGUUCCUCUUCUCCCUCUACAAUUACAAGGACCGAGACCACCCACAUUGUUUUUUUAGUGCGUUCCUUGUCUCUCCGGGCAAGGUAUGCCACGAGAAUGCCCUAAAUCUUGUACAUACAUCUUUGUGGUUCGAUUUUGCACAUGUGUGUGUAUUUUGGACUGGUUUAGGACAAAAGAUAACUCGGGGGAAUGCUUGCCUAGUUUUCCGACGAAUACUGAAGGUUUGCAGGCAUUUUCCAACCACAUUUCGGCCACGCCUGGCCCCGAGGAAGGUGCAUUUGUUAGCGGCGUUUCCAUAUUUGCUAGUUUGCGUGGCUCUUUGAUGGUGAAGUAUAUGACUUAGAAUUAAGGCGUAAAAUUUCGACAUCAAGGCACUCCCGCAUCAGCACCUUCGAGUCAUUUCGGUGUAGGAGCCAUCAUCUUGUUCAUUCAAAUUUUAUAUUAUUUCCUUUUUAGUAUCUCAGUGUAGUUGUAUGUUUUGAACACAUUCCUCAUAUAUAUAAUCAUUGUAUUUAAAUUAAUACUAUUUUAGUCAUAUUCAUUCUACACAUGCAUGUUAGUAUGGAUUCGUCACAUUCAGGUGUCGGCCAGUAUGUGCCUACCCUGAUGUUUGGGAGGAUAUUAGGGUCGAGCGUGUCAAAAUAAGGACUUAGUAAGGUUUUAAAAGACUUUUUAAAGUGGUAGAUUUGUCCUUAUUCGUUAAAUUUGUUUAAUCAAUCUACUAUAACAAUAUAUAAACGGUUUAUAAUGCAAUAUUUGAUUUAGAUUCGUAUUCAAACUAAAUUAGCCUCUUGCUAUACGUCAAGCAUGCAAUAAACUCUAAUUUAUUGAAUACUUUUUCUUAGCUUUUUUUUUUUGUUUCACCACACAAACAUGAACAAAUACCAAAAGACUCAUAUGGAGAAUAUGUUUUCCAUAUUUUAUUUGUUAUCCGCGUUUGUUGUUGUAAUGCUUCAAAUAUACUCAACAAUAGUUCGCGACUUAAUGAAUUCAAUGUGACUUUCUUUCAAAGAGUAUUUAUCAAAUAUAGCCAAAUAUUAGUCUCUAAUUUCAAAAAUAUCU
Molecule: long non-coding RNA, 1221 nt
Organism: Pyrus x bretschneideri (Chinese white pear)
Lineage: Eukaryota; Viridiplantae; Streptophyta; Magnoliopsida; Rosales; Rosaceae
Exons: 3
Source: RefSeq, a predicted model, not a curated record